Molecule: ribosomal RNA, 3060 nt
Filed under: Triticum aestivum (bread wheat)
Lineage: Eukaryota; Viridiplantae; Streptophyta; Magnoliopsida; Poales; Poaceae
Description: partial small subunit ribosomal RNA
Source: RNAcentral
AUGGAUUUUGCAUUAGCUCUGCUUGAAAGUAUCACCAACAAUUUCUCGGAGGAACUCAAAAUUGGCAGUGGUGGGUAUGGAGAUUCAUACAGGGCAGUGCAUAAUGGGGAAGAGAUUGCUGUGAAGAAGCUUCAUCAAUUUCAAGGACUUGAUGAUAAGCAAUUUCACAAUGAAAUCCGUAACCUCACCAAGAUCUCUCACAAAAAUGUUAUACGGUUAAUUGGCUACUGCCAUGAAUCACGGAGUAAAUAUCUGGAACACAACGGGGAACGUGUUUUUGCUAAAUCACAGGAGCGAGUACUCUGCUUUGAAUAUAUGCAGGGGGGAAGCCUUGAGAAAUACAUCGCAGACGAAACAUGUACACUUGACUGGCCCACAUGUUAUAAAAUCAUUCAAGGGGCCUGUGACGGCUUAAAUCACCUUCACAAUGGACAGGAAAAAGCAAUUUUCCAUCUGGACUUGAAGCCUUCUAAUAUAUUGCUGGAUAAAAACAUGACUCCAAAAAUUGCAGAUCUUGGUUUGUCUAGACUUGUUGAUUCAGCAAGAUCGCAACAAACAGAGAUGCGCGACGGAACACUAGGGUACAUGCCACCAGAAUACAUAGACAACGGCAUCAUAUCAAACAAGUUUGACGUGUUCAGUUUGGUCAGCAUAAUUAUAAGAAUGAUGGACGGAAACAGGGGUGCUUACCGUUAUUCUGAAAUGUCUCCGCACCAGUUUAUUGAUCUUGUAAGUGAAAAAUGGAAGGAAAGGUUGCAGACAAUCUCGGAGGGCUCCUCAUAUGAGGUAGACAUCCUACAAGUGCGUACAUGUCUUGAGAUAGCAUUAAGAUGUGUGGAUACCGACCGAAGAAAAAGACCUACUAUCACAGAUAUUGUCCGCGAACUAGGGGAACAAAAUGCGGAGAUUAACACAAUAAUGUCACUGUCUCGUAAUCCUAAGGCUAACUGGCUGGGGGAGAUGCACAUCAACAUGGAUUUUACGCUUGCUUUGAUCGAAACUAUUACCAACAAUUUUUCAGAGGAUCACAAAAUUGGCAGUGGCGGGUAUGGAGAUGUUUACAAGGCAGUGCAUAACGGGAAAAAGAUUGCUGUGAAAAAGCUUCAUCGUCCCUUGCAAGGACUCGAUGAUAAGCAAUUAGACAGUGAAUUCCGAAACCUUAGUAAGGUACGCCACCAAAAUGUCGCACGGUUAAUUGGCUACUGCUACGAAUCACAGCACAAAUACAUGGAGCACAACGAGGAACAUGUUGAUUGUAUACUGAUGGUGCGGAUUAUCUGCUUCGAGUAUGUGAGCGGAGGAAGCCUUGAUAGAUAUAUUGCAGAUGAAUCUUGUGGACUUGACUGGCCCACAUGUUAUGAUAUUAUUACAGGAACUUGUGAGGGCUUAAACCACCUCCACAACGGCCAUGGGGAACCUAUUUUCCAUCUGGAUUUAAAACCAAGUAAUAUAUUGCUAGAUAAGGGCAUGAUGCCCAAAAUUGCAGAUGUUGGAUUGUCAAGACUUCUUGCUUUGACACAUACACAUAAAACAGAGAUUGUAGAAGGAACAAUGGAUUACAUGCCACCAGAAUACUUAAGUAGGGGCUUGAUCUCAAAGAAGUUUGACGUGUUCAGUUUGGGUGUCAUAAUUAUAAAAAUUAUUGCCGGAAAUAUGGGGUUUCCUCGUUCCUCUGAAAUGUCUCCAAACCAGUUUAUUGCGCUCGUAACUGAAAACUGGAUGAAAAGGCUGCAGCCAAUGUCAGGGCGCUCAUCAUAUGAGAUCGAAAUCCUACAAGUGCGUACAUGUGUUGAGAUGGCAUUAAGAUGCGUGGAUGCCGACCGAAACAAAAGGCCUAGUAUAAAGGAAAUUAUACGGGAACUCAGAAGUGAGACAAUAAUAGCACUGCCUACAGAUCAUAAAUCUAACUUGUUUGGACUGGCUUCUCAGUCACGCGCAAGCCCUGCUCCUGAUCAGCCAACGGACCAAAUUGGAGCUGACAUAAAUACAAACCUAACUAAAGCUGAGAUUAAGAAAAUACCGUCAGUGCCUCCUGCUCCUGCCCCUCAUCAGUCAAAAGGCCUAACUGAAGCUGUGACAAAUCUAAUCGAAGCUGAGGACAAGGCAAUAUUGUCAACGCCUCCCGAUAAUAAAUUUAAUUGGUCCAGUCUUGAUUUCCAGCCAAGCUCCAUGAUUGCUCCUGAUAAUUCAGAAGACCUAAUUCUUCAGGGUGUGCUACAAAAUGGGGAAAUGGUUGCAGUGAAGAAGCCAUUACAGGCAAUGCAGGCCACACAAAAGCAAUUUGAGAACGAGGUUAACCUUCUUAUGAAAUUAAAGCACCCAAAUAUAGUGCGCUUAGUUGGAUACUGCUAUGAUACACAACAUUUACGAAUACCUCAUGAAGGAAAAUUUGUUUUCACUUGGAACACUGAAAGUUUGCUUUGCUUGGAAUAUGUGCCUAAUGGAACUCUUGAAAACUACAUUUCAGAUGCAUCUUCUGGACUCGAUUGGCACACACGCCGCAAAAUAAUUGAGGGGGUUUCCUAUGGUGUACAAUACCUUCACGAGAAAUCUAAUGGGGUCAUAAUUCACUUGGACCUAAAACCCGCCAACAUAUUGCUUGAUGGAAAUAUGCUGCCUAAAAUAACAGACUUUGGUCUGUCAAGAUUGUACGAUCAAACCCACACUAUUCAGACUAAAGUUAUUAGUGGAACACGAGGUUACAUGCCACCGGAAUAUGUGGAACGUGGCAUAAUCACACCGAUGUCAGACAUAUUCAGUUUGGGUGUAAUAAUUAUGGAAGUAGUAACGGGACAUAGGGACUACCCAUACGAUAUUAAAAAAGAGUCUGAGGACUUCAUCGAGCUUGAACUUCAAAAAUGGAGAAAUAGGCUCCAACAAGAACCAAGGUAUACAACGCUAGAAAUUGAUUGCCAUCAAAUAGAAAGAUGCAUUCAGAUAGGUCUAAUCUGUGUGAAUCCUGAGCGGUACAAAAGGCCUACAAUGAAGACUAUAAUCGAUAUGCUUCAAGGAUUGGGAAGUAUGAAUUACUAUAUCAACAAUGAGCGACAAUGUUCGUAA